GACGAACGCUGGCGGCGUGCCUAAUACAUGCAAGUAGAACGCUGAAGCGAGGAGCUUGCUCUUCUUGGAUGAGUUGCGAACGGGUGAGUAACGCGUAGGUAACCUGCCUUGUAGCGGGGGAUAACUAUUGGAAACGAUAGCUAAUACCGCAUAACAAUAGGUGACACAUGUCAUUUAUUUGAAAGGGGCAAUUGCUCCACUACAAGAUGGACCUGCGUUGUAUUAGCUAGUAGGUGAGGUAACGGCUCACCUAGGCGACGAUACAUAGCCGACCUGAGAGGGUGAUCGGCCACACUGGGACUGAGACACGGCCCAGACUCCUACGGGAGGCAGCAGUAGGGAAUCUUCGGCAAUGGGGGCAACCCUGACCGAGAAACGCCGCGUGAGUGAAGAAGGUUUUCGGAUCGUAAAGCUCUGUUGUAAGUCAAGAACGAGUGUGAGAGUGGAAAGUUCACACUGUGACGGUAGCUUACCAGAAAGAGACGGCUAACUACGUG
RNAcentral lists this ribosomal RNA (497 nucleotides) under uncultured bacterium. RNAcentral's name for it is "partial 16S ribosomal RNA". It matches the Rfam family "Bacterial small subunit ribosomal RNA", at positions 28 to 507 of the family's 1533-position model. The record is from RNAcentral.